GGAGGGGUGGCCGAGCGGUUUAAGGCACCGGUCUUGAAAUUCGGUUAUAGCCGUAUCCACUUGUAUCCCUCCA
Molecule: transfer RNA, 73 nt
Filed under: Ochrobactrum sp. BH3
Lineage: Bacteria; Pseudomonadati; Pseudomonadota; Alphaproteobacteria; Hyphomicrobiales; Brucellaceae
Description: tRNA-Ser
Rfam family: tRNA
About the family: Transfer RNA (tRNA) molecules are approximately 80 nucleotides in length.
Source: RNAcentral